GAUUGUUUUGUCUUUUUGAGAGAAAUUGAACUACAUUUAGCGAUCAGGAACUAAAGUCUCUGGCUUAUUUUAGAAACAACAUUGGUGCCAUUAGUUUCCCCAUGCAGAUAAGUGUUUUUAUCUGUGAGUCAAAAAUUUUAGUUCUUAAUUGCAAGAUGUAGUCGAAUUGAUGGUCAUAAUAGAAAAGCAGGAUAACAUCCAUGGUAACCAUAUCAAAUGAAUAAGUUCUUUUAAAAUUCAGAAUGUUUUCAAUACACCAAAUUCAUAGUAUAUUUUGAGUUGUUUGCAAACCUAGCUGUUUAAUGCAGAAAACUAAAAAUUACUUGAGCAGACUCCAACCAUUUAAUGAGCUACAUUCAAUUAAGUGUUGAAGGGGACCAAGGAAGGCAAUGUUAGUAAAUGGAGGUGCGUGAAUUAACCUAAAAAAGCGAGACAUCAUAAAUCAUAUGAUCCAAAAAAGUGCUGUAAGAGACAGAAUUCAAAUUUGAAAAAUAAAUAAAAAUUGAUUCCAAACGAGGAAGAGGAAAAUGAUUUAAAUAAAAUGAGCAAACGAACGCUUGAAGAAGAAAUUCGGAAAGAAUGAGCAAGCCGAAAAGUAGAUGUAUUUUCAACAUAAGAAGCCAUGUGAAAUCUACUCGGGAGUGUGGAUGUCCAAAUGAGACUUCGGCCGAGCCUCAACAAGAGAAUACCAACAUACAAGAAAAAAGUAACGUUGAAUGUGACGAAACAAAAUUUUAUGAUGGGUAUCCCCACCCAAUUCUUAAAAAAGUUUUAUCUACAGCACAGCAAAGCAAUAAUCAAAAACUUCAAAGAGAAAGAUACCAUUCGAUGGUAAAUUCUGACCUCUAUGCAAACAGGCGGGAAACUUUAAUACAACGCACAAACAGAGAUCAGUACAAGAGGCCAUUGGAAGGGUCCAGGGCACAAGAAAAAAGUGCUAUCUUUGAAAGUACUCCAAAUCAGUGUGCAAGCAGUAUUAAAAAUGAUGUUGCUUAUAAUACCAGGAAACAAAAUUGUCACCCCAACUGUGUUGAUGCACAAUUUAGGGAAAACUUAGGAGAAAUCAAUACAAUGAAUAAAGUCUGCAUUCAUAAUCAUGUGGCAAACCACAAUCAUGUGAGAAACCAUGAUCAUGAGAUAAACUAUAACCAUGACGCAAACCAUGUGGACCACUGCCAUGGAGUUACUCACUGUCAAAAUCAUGGAAAUUAUGCAUUUAGCCAUAAUAUGAUGCAUAAUUAUUGCUCUCAUAAUUCACGACAUCACUCAAUGGAUGAUUCUUUAACGAACAAUAUUCAUUAUCAUAAACUUCACCAUUGCGACAACCAUCAUGCAAAGAAAUCUUGUCAUCAUUUACAUGGAUUGAGCACUGAAAAUUCGUUUGAUAGAGGACAGUUAGCUCCCUCACACCAAAUUGAGCUAUCCUACAUUGAACAGAUACUAAAAAAGACUGAAAAGUACAAACUUGAUGGAAUGAACAACAAUGCUCCAAAGACUUACGAUGACAAAAAUACAAAAUCAAAGUACAAGCUUGCUCAGAGAUCAGAAUCAUUAGAUGAUGUUCCAACAACAGAAUAUCAGUCUAGUUAUGGGAAAUUUCAUGAUACCAGUAGCAUUCUUGAAGCAAGAAGAAGAAGUCUGAAAAUGCAUUGGGACAUUCAUGGCAGUUAUUUAGUCUAGAUGAUCAAGUAAAAAGCCAUGCUAGUGUGGCAAAAGGACAUAACACCCACAAAAAUCUGUGGAUCUUGAGCCCUGAAAAUGAACCUCUUAUCUCUUCAGUGAUUGGCGAAAAUACGUAGAAAUUACAGGAACUUAAUGGUUUUAUACUUAAAGUGAUCUGUGCUUCUAAUUGUGAUGCACUUGACGUCAAGAGGACUUGAGGUAAAAAUAAAAAAUAAAAAAUUGAGAUAGCUUCAUUUUUAUAAUCAGGGAAUAAUUUUGGAUCAAAUAAUGCAAAAAAAAAAAAAAAAAAAAAACACUACAAAAUGUCAAAAAUUGAUGUUAGUAGAGCAUUUCAAGGCUCCAUCAACUUGAAAAUGAUUUGACAGAGAUCUGAUGACAAAGGUGGCCACGAGGGCACAAUCUUGCAAUCUGCAUUUUGAUUUGUUAAAAUUUCAAAAAGUGUGACAAAAAGUGUUUCAAAUAUGUGGACAGCAUCUUUUAACGAAUAUUUCUAGAAUUUACCUGUCAUGGGUGAGUGAACUAUCAAUUCCAAGAGUGAACAAACUGGAGAGAAUUUUGUAGGAAGCAACUUGAAUUUCAUCCACUAUUGACAAAAGAAGAAUAAAACAAUUAGUAACUGUUCCAGACAUUGCUUUCGGAGCUUAAAAUUUAAAGAUUUUUUUCAAUUUUUAUUGCAUAAUUUAAAAAUUAAAUUUAUACCUAAUCAAAUAAUAUGUUGAGAGAGCACAGCAUUCGUUUAGAAAAAGAGAUAGCAUGGUAGAAUAAUGCAGAGUCCACCCUGUUCUGCAAGGAAAACAGGCUACAAAUUUCCAACAAUUUUCAUUAGGUUAGAAAAGUUGAACUCUAAUGAGUAUCAGUGCAAGAAUUGGGAGAGGGGGGGGGAGUGUUCAGCUCAGGCAAAUGCAUUGCAUUAUUAAGCUAAGGUCUUGCUGAGGGACCUACAUCGAUUUGGGUCUCUUCAGACCUUAUCAGUGGAUCACACUUGUCAGAGCCUAUGUCAGUCAAAGGCGGACAAGCCAACUAACUAACUAACUAGCAAAGCUAAACUAACUGACAAGCCAACUCUACAGUUCCACUAAAUUACCCAGUCCAUAGGUAUGUCACCUUGUAGCAAUGUUGAUGAUUAAGUUGAGGUUGUAGAUAGGAAAGGGUAAUGCUAACUACUUAAUAAUGCAGAAAAACAAACUGCACUAAAAAGUAAGGGACUAAUAAUUGAUUCACUGAUUCAUACUAUGAAAGAAUAAUUAAUCAGAGCUUGAUGUCUUCCUUUAAAGAGGAUGGCAACCUUAAAAACAAGUUUGGCAAAAUCGACAAAGAAAAGUGAGCUAUGAACGAUGCCAAAAUCAGGUUUCGAAUAUCUGCAUUCGUUAAGCCGCUAUCGCGAAAAAACAGCGCGUGACGUCAUGAGCUCCGUCUCGCAUUUCGCAGUCUGGACUCUGCAAGUGGCCGACGCAUGUUCGCGACAAGUUAUUCGUUCGCCUCAAUCUCGCUCGUUCCUGGCCGACUCUAUUUUCUUUGCUUAGGUGUGACUAUUAAGGCGACUUCACGGCACCAGACAGCGAACGCGCCAGACUUCGAGUUGUGUGUAAGUGAACCACAGUCGCACCGGAAGCGCAUGACGUCACCAGUCAGACUUACAAUCUUUCAUAUCUCUGCCGAUUUAGCGAAUUUUUCAUUUGCGACAAAGCCAUUUUGCUUCUUAUACCUUCCCGCUUCAAUUUUUAAUACAAUCUCAUUUUCAAUUUUAGGGUUGCCGUCCUCUUUAAAAAAAAAGAAGAAAACAAAGAGAAAAACGUAUCUGAGGAAAAAUUGAGAGAGAGAACUACUCACAAAGUAGAUCACUGCCGUAUUCACAAGCAGCUAGAUGAUCGAACAUGGCUGUUAGAACAGGAAGAAUCACAUCAUUGACAUAGAAGAGUGAAGUUGAAGUUUUCAAAUGAGUUCCUCGCAGAUGACUAUAUUUCCCCUAAAACAAUUUUAAAAAUCAUUAAUAUACAAAUAUUUCAUCAAGUUGUUGAAAAAUUAAAUCAAAAUAGUAGAUCACUGCCUUAAAACUGAAAAAAAAAUUCACAUCUAAAUGAAAAAGGAAGAACAGCUGAGUAUUGGAAAAUUUUCCACUGCAGAAGAAAUUUCCGAGGAAGAAAAUUUUUACCCCAACAAGCUGCUCAACAUGCAGUCUCUAUUUCUUUUGGCGGAUAACAAAACGUUGGUUUUUUUUGAUACUCA
Molecule: long non-coding RNA, 3909 nt
Filed under: Bemisia tabaci
Lineage: Eukaryota; Metazoa; Arthropoda; Insecta; Hemiptera; Aleyrodidae
Description: lncRNA ENSASIAIIG009938
Source: RNAcentral